This 74-nucleotide transfer RNA is filed under the name Autumnella corcontica. RNAcentral describes it as "Koliella corcontica tRNA-Arg". It matches the Rfam family "tRNA". Rfam says of the family: Transfer RNA (tRNA) molecules are approximately 80 nucleotides in length. Their secondary structure includes four short double-helical elements and three loops (D, anti-codon, and T loops). Lineage: Eukaryota; Viridiplantae; Chlorophyta; Trebouxiophyceae. The record is from RNAcentral.
GGGUUUGUAGCUCAGUGGACUAGAGCACGUGGCUACGAACCACGGUGUCGGGGGUUCGAAUCCCUCCUUGCCCA